Molecule: ribosomal RNA, 253 nt
Filed under: uncultured bacterium
Lineage: Bacteria
Description: partial 16S ribosomal RNA
Rfam family: Bacterial small subunit ribosomal RNA
Source: RNAcentral
UACGUAGGGACCAAGCGUUGUUCGGAUUUACUGGGCGUAAAGGGCGCGUAGGCGGUGCGGUAAGUCACUUGUGAAAUCUCCGAGCUUAACUCGGAACGGCCAAGUGAUACUGCAGUACUAGAGUGCGGAGGGGGCAAUCGGAAUUCUUGGUGUAGCGGUGAAAUGCGUAGAUAUCAAGAGGAACACCUGAGGUGAAGACGGGUUGCUGGGCCGACACUGACGCUGAGGAGCGAAAGCAUGGGUAGCGAACAGG